GAAGGAGUGGAGAUGAGCCCAGACACAACCCUGGAUGUGUGCAUUGCUUUCAAAAAGUAAUGCCAUUAGUUGUGACGCUGACCGUGCCUUUACUCCUCUGCCAAAUAUACUAUGGGGCAGCUGGAACUAACGGACACUUCUAAGGUUCAUACUGAGGUGGAACUCUCACUGGACCACUGGGAAUUUUAUCCAAAUAAUGCAAAUAUCACAGCAAGUUCAUGACGCUCUAUUUCACAAAUGGGACUUUCUGAGGUCAGAUGAUUCCAGUUACUGUAAUGUAUGGAUUGCUGGAUCGAAGAGCAUGCACUACGGGGAAUGAGAUUGACAUCUGUGAAGAAAGGAAAAAAACAUGUCUAGGAUAAAGAAAAGUUGCUUCAUAGAAAGCAGACCUUUAAAAAUGCUACAUUAAUAUUAAAAAUAUACACUGGAGGCAACCAUGGCAGCCUAAGUGCACAAAUGGUUCCUAGGAAGACAGCCAUUUCACUGUGUAUACCUUAUCAUGGGGAGAGCACUACACUCAACUCUAUAAAGACUGGCUUUCAACUUCAAUUCCCCUCUUACAAGUGAGAUGGUAUUAUAGUCAUGAAUGAAUGGAAUAACUGCAACACAGAAAACACUACAUUUCAGCAACUGCUUGGUCAGCCAUGGAUAGGAAUGAAGUAUUGCCACUCCAGUUUGCUGCUUCUUCAUAUGGAAUAUGAAACUGUAGAGAACAGAAGUGUAGAGAUUUUGUAUAUUUCCAUGGAAUACCAGCAUCAGGCCACUUUCACAUCAGACAGAUUUUGAUAGAAGCAACGAAGUGUACAGAUGAUCUCUCUUUUCUGCUCCAACCCCAGAACUGGAGAGGCAGGUCUCCUGUAGAGUGAGUGUGCAUGAGUGAGACAAGUUAAUGUGGUAAUAAGACUACAUCCCUCUUUAAUCACCAUCUCCCUUUGCAAUUGAAUAAAACUAUAAAUCAUAUGAAUUC
RNAcentral lists this long non-coding RNA (967 nucleotides) under Anser brachyrhynchus (Pink-footed goose). RNAcentral describes it as "lncRNA (ENSABRG00000018399.1)". Lineage: Eukaryota; Metazoa; Chordata; Aves; Anseriformes; Anatidae. The record is from RNAcentral.